RNAcentral lists this ribosomal RNA (253 nucleotides) under uncultured bacterium. RNAcentral's name for it is "partial 16S ribosomal RNA". It matches the Rfam family "Bacterial small subunit ribosomal RNA", at positions 524 to 776 of the family's 1533-position model. The record is from RNAcentral.
UACAGAGGUCCCAAGCGUUGUUCGGAUUCACUGGGCGUAAAGGGUGCGUAGGCGGUCGGGUAAGUCUGAUGUGAAAUCUCCGGGCUCAACCCGGAAAUGGCAUUGGAUACUAUUCGGCUCGAGGUCUGGAGGGGGGACUGGAAUACUUGGUGUAGCAGUGAAAUGCGUAGAUAUCAGAAGGAACAUCAGUGGCGAAGGCGGCUUCCUGGACCAAUACUGACGAUCAGGUGCGAAAGCGUGGGGAGCAAACAGG